UCGAGAAUUUUUCUCAAUGGGCGAAAGCCUGAAGGAGCGACGCCGCGUGGGGGAUGAAUGGCUUCGGCCCGUAAACCCCUGUCAUUUGCGAACAAUUUGCAUUAUUUAAAAGAUGAUGCAUUGAUAGUAGCGAAAGAGGAAGGGACGGCUAACUCUGUGCCAGCAGCCGCGGUAAUACAGAGGUCCCGAGCGUUGUUCGGAUUCACUGGGCGUAAAGGGUGCGUAGGUGGUGAGGUAAGUCGGAUGUGAAAUCUCCAAGCUCAACUUGGAAAUGGCAUUGGAAACUACCUUGCUGGAGGUUUGGAGGGGGGACUGGAAUUCUCGGUGUAGCAGUGAAAUGCGUAGAUAUCGAGAGGAACACCAGUGGCGAAGGCGAGUCCCUGGACAACACCUGACACUGAGGCACGAAAGCUAGGGGAGCAAACAGGAUUAGAUACCCCCGUAGUCC
Molecule: ribosomal RNA, 448 nt
Filed under: uncultured bacterium
Lineage: Bacteria
Description: bacterial SSU rRNA
Rfam family: Bacterial small subunit ribosomal RNA
Source: RNAcentral